Cucumis melo (muskmelon) is the source of this 1897-nucleotide long non-coding RNA. RefSeq lists it as uncharacterized. The record is from RefSeq and is a predicted model, not a curated record. The transcript is spliced from 4 exons. Lineage: Eukaryota; Viridiplantae; Streptophyta; Magnoliopsida; Cucurbitales; Cucurbitaceae.
AUUCCAUUAGAGAAAAACUUCAACAAUGGUUCUAUGAAAAAGGUUAAGUAAUGGUCUAUGAAGACUAUUUUAACUAGUUGGGCAAAGUCUAGUUGCGAGAGCUGCACAAUCAAUCAAGAACCUUCAAGUUAAAUGUCAAGUUGGACAACCGCGAAAACAAAGAAUUUUGUCAAUUGGUGAAAAGAAAAAGAACUUGAAGAAGUGAAGUCGAUGUCAUUAGCGUGGCCAUAACUGUAGAAGGAUUUUGCAAAGUAUCGGUGCCCUAGAAAUUGAGGCAAGGAAGUAAACGUCUUGUCAAGCGACGUGACAACUCACUGUGGGAAAAGAAACAACAAUAGCUUCUUUAAGAAGAGAACAUGAACAGUUGGACAAUUAAGAGUUUGGCUUCCCAAUAAGAUAAGGUGUGCAUCUCAAAAGAAAAGUCAAAUCGUUGCCUGACAAACAAGCAAAAUGUUGAGCUUGGAUUGGUAGCAAAUACGGUAUGUGCUACGACAACACAUGUAAGGCACAUAAGUGACCCUUGGAUGUGAAGUCUAUAUAAUUAGGACGGGAAAGCCUAAGAAAAGGGCAUUUUUCCAAAAAUAAAAAAAAGAAAGAAAAGAAAAGAGUAGACCAUCCUGAUGAAGGAAAAAGGAGAAAGUUUCAAAUGUUGAACGAACAGAUUCUCUAACCAUCAGAUGAAAAGAAGUAGUUGGAAGCCGAGAAGGGAGAAGUUAAGGCUAAUUAUUUUGUGUAACUCGCGUGAUACUGGUGAGAGCGAAUCCCAGGUCAGCGAGGGAAGAAUUUCCAAGUCAGGGCGAGUUGUGAGAAAGAUGUGGCGAGACGUUGUUGGAUAUCCCAGGUAACUCUCAUAAUAUUAGCGAAAGCAAAUCCCACGUCAGCGAGGCGAGAUUCAUAGGUCUUAGAAUGGACUUGUUGUAAAAUGAUUCCAGCGUAUGUCGUUGUACUGCUGUUGAGAGAAAGAUGUGGAUGAGACGCUGGUGGAGUGCUACUCCCAGGUCUAAAAAUGUGAAUGUGGUGAGACGCUGUUGGAUAUCUCAAGUAACUCACAUGAUACUAGAGAGAGCGAAUCUCAGGUCAGCGAAGGGAGAUUUUCAGGUCUUAUAAAGACAUUGUGGUAUUGAUCGAAAUACAAUUAGUAACUCAUAACGUAGUUUUUGAAUGGCAGUUGUUAUGCGAUAUGUGUUAUCUGUUUACUGCGACGAACUUCGUGUGUUAGGACUUACUGCUUAUUUUAUUGUGGAUUUCUUGUGAUUUCCCCAAAAGGUUUUCUCAAAUCCAUUACUCACUACGUCCAUUGACUUACUUUUUAAGUGUUUUCCCUCCCCUGGUUGUUAGGCAUUGAGGCUAAGCUACGGAGGGAGGACAGAGUUUCUGUAUACAUGGCACGUUGGCCAUGGAAACUUGUAUUACUCCUAAGGAGCCUGUUGGAAAGCACAUUGCUCCUUAGUGCGGAUGGCCAGACUUAGAAGGCAGGCGAGUGCAAUACCCAGGUUGGUAAAAGCCUAACUCGGUGAGCCAGAGCGCCAAAGAGCUGAGCUAGGGAAAGAGCAACCUUAACGCAUUUUGCUAAGAGAGGUAGUUGGGAAACCUUAGUGGAGAAGGAAGUGUCACCUUUACACCUCUAGGUAUCCUUUACAAGGAGCAGCGUUACUGGCAAAAAGCGAGAAAGAAGACUUCGAAGGAUGCCCUUAGGGAGAACUGCUGAGAACAAGAGGAAAAAUGGUUGAGAUCGAGAGUUUUAUACUCAUGAACACCUUGGCACAAAAGAGGUACCUAGGUAGAAGAAGGACACGAGAAGACCAUGUUGUUUAUUUGUACAAGCAGAGUAUAAUUGUAAUAUGUAAUUGUAAGGCCUUAAGUUAAUAAAGGAAGGAGUUCAAGUUUUUUGCUGUCC